UACGUAGGGUGCGAGCGUUGUCCGGAAUUACUGGGCGUAAAGAGCUCGUAGGUGGUUUGUCGCGUUGUUCGUGAAAACUCACAGCUUAACUGUGGGCGUGCGGGCGAUACGGGCAGACUGGAGUACUGCAGGGGAGACUGGAAUUCCUGGUGUAGCGGUGAAAUGCGCAGAUAUCAGGAGGAACACCGGUGGCGAAGGCGGGUCUCUGGGCCGAUACUGACGCUGAGGAGCGAAAGCGUGGGGAGCAAACAGG
RNAcentral lists this ribosomal RNA (253 nucleotides) under uncultured bacterium. RNAcentral's name for it is "partial 16S ribosomal RNA". It matches the Rfam family "Bacterial small subunit ribosomal RNA", at positions 524 to 776 of the family's 1533-position model. The record is from RNAcentral.